CCUUCGAUAGCUCAGUUGGUAGAGCGGUGGACUGUAGAAAAGUUUUGGGAGACAACCGGGUCAGAAUGCAAUUUUGAAAAGCUCUUCUGUGACUGUCUCUUCAAACAAUAGAAAUCCAUAGGUCACUGGUUCAAAUCCGGUUCGAAGGA
Molecule: transfer RNA, 149 nt
Filed under: Anopheles epiroticus
Lineage: Eukaryota; Metazoa; Arthropoda; Insecta; Diptera; Culicidae
Description: tRNA tRNA-Tyr
Rfam family: tRNA
About the family: Transfer RNA (tRNA) molecules are approximately 80 nucleotides in length. Their secondary structure includes four short double-helical elements and three loops (D, anti-codon, and T loops).
Source: RNAcentral